AGUGAACGCUGGCGGUAGGCCUAACACAUGCCAGUCGAACGGCAGCACAGUAAGAGCUUGCUCUUACGGGUGGCGAGUGGCGGACGGGUGAGGAAUACAUCGGAAUCUACUUUUUCGUGGGGGAUAACGUAGGGAAACUUACGCUAAUACCGCAUACGACCUACGGGUGAAAGCAGGGGAUCUUCGGACCUUGCGCGAUUGAAUGAGCCGAUGUCGGAUUAGCUAGUUGGCGGGGUAAAGGCCCACCAAGGCGACGAUCCGUAGCUGGUCUGAGAGGAUGAUCAGCCACACUGGAACUGAGACACGGUCCAGACUCCUACGGGAGGCAGCAGUGGGGAAUAUCGGACAAUGGGCGCAAGCCUGAUCCAGCCAUACCGCGUGGGUGAAGAAGGCCUUCGGGUUGUAAAGCCCUUUUGUUGGGAAAGAAAAGCAGCAGGUUAAUACCCCGCUGUUCUGACGGUACCCAAAGAAUAAGCACCGGCUAACUUCGUG
RNAcentral lists this ribosomal RNA (492 nucleotides) under uncultured bacterium. RNAcentral's name for it is "partial 16S ribosomal RNA". It matches the Rfam family "Bacterial small subunit ribosomal RNA", at positions 29 to 507 of the family's 1533-position model. The record is from RNAcentral.